Non-coding RNA from Linepithema humile (Argentine ant), 744 nucleotides. The record is from RefSeq and is a predicted model, not a curated record. NCBI's taxonomy places the organism in Eukaryota, Metazoa, Arthropoda, Insecta, Hymenoptera, Formicidae.
CGCGACACGGCGACGGAGAAUAAGUCACGUGAGGAGCAGCAACGUCCCUCGAUUCUUGUGCGACAGAUACAGCAGACGCGUGACAAAAGUCUACGAGUUAUGCUGCUGGAACGAGAGCUGCGUCGACGUUUGCCAAAGACAACCAAGCGAGAUACUCAUCUAAUUGCGAACGGCGUCGUUAACAUCAGACGAUUAAGCAAUCCUCUCUGUUAACUCUUCCGCUGCAAGGAAACUAGCAAUCCAAAGAACAUCUGUAAAUGCCGAUGGAUAGCGGUGGCGUCUAGCUACGGGUGCCCAUACCUGGUGCGCGAUAUUAGCAUACGUGUGAGAGUCUCUGGGAUGAUCGGGAUAAAAAUGGGAGUACAAACAUCGGGACAUAAUAGACGCCCGACCGAUGGAAAUACUAAUGAGGUGGAACCGUGCAAGUAUAACAGAUCGUGAAGAAUGGCGCACGUGGACGGAGAUGCGACGGGAAUUACGAAUAUGGUAGAAAAGAAAAAGCUCGAAAGCGCAAUUACGCUCUCAACGGAUACGGUUUGCGAAAAUAUGCGAGCUUGAAUAUUUUCAAGUGACGAAGAUUUGUGACAGUGGAUAAUUCCGAUCAUACAGCCGAGUGGAUUGUUCUGAAGUGUUCAUACAAAAAAUGACUUUUGUUUACGUGCAGAGUAUUUACCGCUAAAGAAUGGCGAUGUGGAAGCUUUGGGGUCCCACGUUGCCCAGAGUUCGCAUCCAAUAAAAGGGAUA